Ursus americanus (American black bear) is the source of this 107-nucleotide small nuclear RNA. The record is from Ensembl. Lineage: Eukaryota; Metazoa; Chordata; Mammalia; Carnivora; Ursidae.
AACCCUUAUUACUAUAGUGUUACCUACUAAAAUUAGAAUAAUAUAAGAGAAUAAGUAUGGCCUCUGCCCAAGAUGCCAUGAAAAAUUGUGAAGUAUGCCUGUUUUUA